GAUGAACGCUGGCGGCGUGCUUUAUACAUGCAAGUCGAGCGAACAGACGAGGAGCUUGCUCCUCUGAUGUUAGCGGCGGACGGGUGAGUAACACGUGGAUACCCUGCCUAUAAGACUGGGAUAACUUCGGGAAACCUGAGCUAAUACCGGAUAACAUGUUGAACCGCAUGGUUCAACAGUGAAAGACGGUCUUGCUGUCACUUAUAGAUGUAUCCGCGCCGCAUUAGCUAGUUGGUAAGGUAACGGCUUACCAAGGCAACGAUGCGUAGCCGACCUGAGAGGGUGAUCGGCCACACUGGAACUGAGACACGGUCCAGACUCCUACGGGAGGCAGCAGUAGGGAAUCUUGCGCAAUGGGCGAAAGCCUGACGGAGCAACGCCGCGUGAGUGAAGAAGGUCUUCGGAUCGUAAAACUCUGUUAUUAGGGAAGAACAAAUGUGUAAGUAACUAUGCACGUCUUGACGGUACCUAAUCAGAAAGCCACGGCUAACUACGUG
This 497-nucleotide ribosomal RNA is filed under the name uncultured bacterium. RNAcentral's name for it is "partial 16S ribosomal RNA". It matches the Rfam family "Bacterial small subunit ribosomal RNA", at positions 28 to 507 of the family's 1533-position model. The record is from RNAcentral.